This 510-nucleotide long non-coding RNA is filed under the name Ananas comosus (pineapple). Its description in RNAcentral is "long non-coding RNA (ACOM_LNC041339)". Lineage: Eukaryota; Viridiplantae; Streptophyta; Magnoliopsida; Poales; Bromeliaceae. The record is from RNAcentral.
UUUAGUUUAAAAGGUAGCGGAAAAGCGUCUGAAAUUUUUUUUUUCAAAAUCUAACCCCAGAGUGUGCCAGAUCCGCCACAAAUACAGAAGUUCCACUGUUCACACGGGCAGAGUCUCCCCUGUAUUUGCACGGCGUCGCACAAGUACAAGAGUUUAAUCAUCCAACAACCACAACCAGAUGAAUAUACAAACAACCACAGAUGUACAUUCAUACACCAUUCACCACAGAUUCACAAUAAUACAUUCGCUAAUUAAAUAUAAGUCCACAACUAUCAGUUAAAACGUUUCCAACCACAGAAACGGGUUUUGAAAUACUAAGAUACAAAAUCCACAGAAACCUUUUGAAAACUGCUCCCUACACAGGAACUUUUAACUUUUCAAAACGCUACCACGAGGGGUAGAAAACCAUUUCCAUUUCAAGAAAACACAAAUUCUUUUAUUACAUUCCAAAACCAACUGAAAACUCAGAUAUCCAAAUAGUAAAAUAAAACUGAACCAUAAUAUGUCUAA